GUGUUUAAUGCAUAGUUGGUUUAUGAAGUGUUAUUUAUGCUUUGUUUUUUUUUAUCCCCAGAUAACCAUGGUUGAUAAAUGGUCAGUAGAUGACACGUGCCACUGGCUUCAAACUAUAAACCUCAUUGAUGCAAAAGAAAGUUUCAGAGAGCAACAAAUUGAUGGAGAGACUCUGCUGGGUCUCACAGAAAGGAUGGUGGAAAGACUUUUUCCUGUAAUGAAACAUCAGGUGACAUUUAUGAAGGAGCUUAAUAAGUUAAAAAAGUAAGUCUGUGUUGUUAAAUAUAAAACAAACAAAUGCUAACCAAGCUUAAAAUCCUUAUCUUAAUUUAUAUUUUUAUAUUUCUUCAAACAGCCUGGAAACUGAAGUGCCUCAAAUAUCUCGUACUCAGUAUGUAUCAUUGUUUUGAAUUUUGAACAAACUGUAUUGUGGCAAGUAAAAUGAAAUCCUGUAUAAAAGACUUCAACAUUGUAUUCAUGUUUACAGACAAGAACCCUGUGAGAAUGAGGGCUCAUUUGUUGCCCAACCUUGGCCAGCAGUAUACAACCUGCCUGUAUUUCCCCCUGAACUGCAAGAAGCUUUGCAGAGGAAGGAUCCCGGCUUUAAGAAGAAGGACAAGUCUCACAUCCGUGCAUUACUGAUUCAAGUGUUGUUUGACAGCAUCACUAAGCACACCUGGUACAGUAUUGUAUUUCAUUGUAUUUUAUAAAAGUUAAAUGUAUUUUAUAUUAAAGGGUUAGUUCACCCAAAAAAGAAAAUUCUGUCAGUAAUUACUCACCCUCAUGUUGUUCCAAACCCGUAAGACCUUCGUUCAUCUUCGGAACACAAAUUAAGAUAUUUUUGAUGAAAUCUGACAGCUGGAUCACUCCUCCAUAGGCUUCUAAGGGGUUGAAACUUGCUGGCCCAGAAAAGUUAUUAAAGAGAUCAUUAAUAUAGUCCAAGCAACUACAGUGGCUGAAUCUUUAGUAUAUCAAGGCGACGAGAAUACUUUUUGUGCGCAAAAAAAAAAAAAAAAUACCGACUUUAUUCCACUAUUCAUUUCCUUCUCUCUGGGCCUUGAGUUAGUUCACAUAGUGUUUUUGCGCAGUGCGUCUGUGUUACACGUCACCACCUAGGCUCACUAUUGGCCGACACUGGUCAUGUGUGUGAUGUGUAUGACGUACAACACUGACGCGCUGCGCAAAAACACUACGUGAACUUACUCGAGGCCCAGAGAGAAGGAAAUGAAUAGUGGAAUAAAGUCGUUAUUUUUUAUUUAUUUUUUGCGCA
Molecule: long non-coding RNA, 1270 nt
Organism: Cyprinus carpio (common carp)
Lineage: Eukaryota; Metazoa; Chordata; Actinopteri; Cypriniformes; Cyprinidae
Source: Ensembl